Orcinus orca (killer whale) is the source of this 399-nucleotide long non-coding RNA. RefSeq lists it as uncharacterized. The record is from RefSeq and is a predicted model, not a curated record. The transcript has 2 exons. Lineage: Eukaryota; Metazoa; Chordata; Mammalia; Artiodactyla; Delphinidae.
GUAAUUCCAGCUCUGCCCUUGAACUUCAGGCUGUUUUUCACUCCUGUUUACUGUGAAGUACUUAGCAAGACUGCCAUGUAGCUUUCUGGGGAACUGCUUCCCAGGUGGCGCAGUGGUUGAGAAUCUGCUUGCUAAUGCAGGGGACAUGGGUUCAAGCCCUGGUCUGGGAAGAUCCCACAUGCCGCGGAGCAACUAGGCCCGUGAGCCACAACUACUGAGCCUGCGCGUCUGGAGCCUGUGCUCCGCAACAAGAGAGGCCGCAAUAGUGAGAGGCCCGCGCGCCGCGAUGAAGAGUGGCCCCCGCUUGCCACAACUAGAGAAAGCCUUCGCACAGAAACGAAGACCCAAGACAGCCAAAAAAAUAAAUAAAUAAACAAAUGUGGGGUUUAAAAAAAAAAA